GGCGAACGGGUGAGUAACACGUGGGUAACCUGCCCCUGGCUCCGGGAUAACCUUGGGAAACCGAGGCUAAUACCGGAUACGACUCGCGACCGCAUGGUCUGCGGGUGGAAAGGAUUCCGGCCAGGGAUGGACUCGCGGCCUAUCAGCUAGUUGGUGGGGUAAUGGCCUACCAAGGCGACGACGGGUAGCCGGCCUGAGAGGGCGACCGGCCACACUGGGACUGAGACACGGCCCAGACUCCUACGGGAGGCAGCAGUGGGGAAUAUUGCGCAAUGGGCGAAAGCCUGACGCAGCAACGCCGCGUGAGGGAUGACGGCCUUCGGGUUGUAAACCUCUUUCAGCUCCGACGAAGCCUUCGGGUGACUGUAGGAGCAGAAGAAGCACCGGCUAACUACGUGCCAGCAGCCGCGGUAAUACGUAGGGUGCGAGCGUUGUCCGGAAUUAUUGGGCGUAAAGAGCUCGUAGGCGGCCUGUUGCGUCUGCUGUGAAAGCCCGGGGCUUAACCCCGGGUCUGCAGUGGAUACGGGCAGGCUAGAGUUCGGCAGGGGAGACUGGAAUUCCUGGUGUAGCGGUGAAAUGCGCAGAUAUCAGGAGGAACACCGGUGGCGAAGGCGGGUCUCUGGGCCGAUACUGACGCUGAGGAGCGAAAGCGUGGGGAGCGAACAGGACUAGAUACCCUGGUAGUCC
Molecule: ribosomal RNA, 687 nt
Filed under: uncultured bacterium
Lineage: Bacteria
Description: bacterial SSU rRNA
Rfam family: Bacterial small subunit ribosomal RNA
Source: RNAcentral